This 28-nucleotide non-coding RNA is filed under the name Homo sapiens (human). Lineage: Eukaryota; Metazoa; Chordata; Mammalia; Primates; Hominidae. The record is from RNAcentral.
UGGCAUGCGAUUUCCAAAGUGUCUCUGC